This is a long non-coding RNA of Brienomyrus brachyistius, 656 nucleotides long. RefSeq lists it as uncharacterized. The record is from RefSeq and is a predicted model, not a curated record. The transcript has 4 exons. NCBI's taxonomy places the organism in Eukaryota, Metazoa, Chordata, Actinopteri, Osteoglossiformes, Mormyridae.
CAACUACUGAUAAGUGGUGGAAAAUGCAUGGAUGUAUGGAUGUAAUACAUUUUAGAAGAUAAAUUAUUGUUUUCAUUUUUUAUCAAAGCAAAACUGUGCGGAUCAGUUGCAAGAGAGAAAAAACAUGUCGUGCAGAAGACAUUUCCUGACCACUGCAAACUGGCCACUGCAGACCAAUGACCCAUGCAAAGUCAAUAAACUUUCGGAGGAACAUGGAGCAGCAUUGAACGUAUAAAGGCAAUCCAGGAUUACAGUUCUGCUCUGUUCAUUUCUGAGGUAACUAUGAAGAAGCGGAAGAGAAGACCAAUAUCAGAAGGAGCUGGAUUAUCAUUUAGGAAAAAAUGUGAGUCGUCACAGGGGCUUUGGCGAGGACAUAGAGAGCGACUUCUAGACAGCUUUGAGGAGAUUCUGGUCCACCAUCCGGCGGCUCAGGGCGGGAAAGUGGUGCAGCAUCAACACUGUUUAUGGUGGGGAUAGUGCACUGCUGACCUCAGCUCGGGAUGUUGUAGGUUGACCUUCUCUGCCAAAUUCAACUUAAUGUACUAUAUUACGCCAAUUAUUAUUCUUUAGCAAUGAAAAUAUGGUUACUUUUUGAAGAAGGUUCACUAUUGGUGUUCCAAGGCUUCUGCCAAUCAGUAACCUUAGCUAUCCAGACU